RNAcentral lists this ribosomal RNA (468 nucleotides) under uncultured bacterium. RNAcentral's name for it is "partial 16S ribosomal RNA". It matches the Rfam family "Bacterial small subunit ribosomal RNA", at positions 28 to 507 of the family's 1533-position model. The record is from RNAcentral.
GACGAACGCUGGCGGCGUGCUUAACACAUGCAAGUCGAACGGAAAGACCCUGCUUUUGUGGGGUGCUCGAGUGGCGAACGGGUGAGUAACACGUGAGUAACCUGCCCUUGACUUUGGGAUAACUUCAGGAAACUGGGGCUAAUACCGGAUAGGAGCUCCUGCUGCAUGGUGGGGGUUGGAAAGUUUCGGCGGUUGAGGAUGGACUCGCGGCUUAUCAGCUUGUUGGUGGGGUAGUGGCUUACCAAGGCUUUGACGGGUAGCCGGCCUGAGAGGGUGACCGGCCACAUUGGGACUGAGAUACGGCCCAGACUCCUACGGGAGGCAGCAGUGGGGAAUAUUGCACAAUGGGCGGAAGCCUGAUGCAGCAACGCCGCGUGCGGGAUGACGGCCUUCGGGUUGUAAACCGCUUUCGCCUGUGACGAAGCGUGAGUGACGGUAAUGGGUAAAGAAGCACCGGCUAACUACGUG